Long non-coding RNA from Armigeres subalbatus, 666 nucleotides. RefSeq lists it as uncharacterized. The record is from RefSeq and is a predicted model, not a curated record. The transcript is spliced from 3 exons. NCBI's taxonomy places the organism in Eukaryota, Metazoa, Arthropoda, Insecta, Diptera, Culicidae.
CAUAAAAAUUGGUAUAUUUUAUUCAAAUUGAGAGUUAAAACAUUCGCAUUGAAAAUAAUAUAUUUUAUUCAAUAGUAUUUUUCGUCGGGUCUGAGUGUGAAUUUAAAAGUAUGCACUUUCAUCGUGAAAACUGUAGUAGUGUCAAACGAAGCAAGAAAGAAAACAAAAUACUCACUGGGCGAUAAAAAGAGAGCGCUAUAUUUUUGUUUUUUUUUUCACGCGCCGUGAGCGUGAAACCGAUUAGAAAGCUAGAAACUCUUGGUGAAACCAUUUUCUGCAUAGCGAUUUUUUUUUGUAAGUUUACAUUUACAGUUUACAUUUCACAUUUAAUCUUUGAAAAACUCGAAACAUUGGAGAACUGAGAUGGUGAACAUGCUUCUUUCACCGGAGCUACAGCUGCAGCAGCCAUGGAAAUUAGAAUUGGAGGUCGGGAUUUCAGCCAUUGCAGCCGAAACAUGGGCGGGAAAUCGGUCUUCCAACAUCGUUUAUCACCAGUUUCCCGAUUCAUCAUAGUUCUCGAAAAAUAGCAUUUUGAAGUCGAUUUCCUGUUUCCAGAAAACAAUAUAUCUAUGGCGCAAUAUUUCCUGCAUUACGUCCUUGACGAGCGACGUUGAAAGUAGUUUUAAGAGCUGCUACAUAAUUGUACAUGUUGAAUAAAAUUAUAAA